CCCGUAUCAAGAAAGAAAGAGAAAAGAAAAAGAACCAAAGAAAAAGAAAAGUCACCAUCGCACGGUUAAGUCUGCCUUGCUACAGCUAAACAGUGACUUCCUAGGACCAAGAAAUCGCAGCCAGGGCUAGACCGAUGCCCUAAAUCGGGACUUGCUUAGGCUGAGAAAUCACAUUUUGGCUAGUUAUUUGGACAAGAGGUAGAAAUAGCGGGCACCGCGAAAUCGAAACUUGCUAGGACCAAGAAGCCAACGACGGGCGAAACCGCAGGGGCCUGCGAUAGAGACGCCAGCGGCGCCGCCGGGGGACUGGGUUCAGGAGGCCGAGCAGGAACCCGUGCGUCGGCGCUCGCGGCGCUGUGAAGAGACGGCGUCCGCGCAGCUCCUCUGCCUCUGGCUCGGAGGAGCGGCGGGCUCCCCCGCCCAGCGCCGGCGUCGCCCGGGAACCCCAGACUCUGCGCAACUGGCUGCGAUUCCAAAUCCCUCAGAUCGGCUACCAGAGCGCUGCCGCCACCGAGAAAAUGGAGGCACCGAGGAACAAGAUGUGCCGCGACCAAGAGAACUCGGCUUGGCGAAAUGGCGGUGCUGGGACCCUAAGAGUGACGCCAGCCGGAGGAGUUCCCAAGGACAACAUCCAUUUUGGCGGAACCAACGGUGUUGUCACGCAGAAAAUGUCGACCCUCGGAAAAGAGAGGUUCUGCGACCGAGAAAUUCGGUGCAACAAGUGCUGUGACAGAAAACCCCCCGCUCGGCGCUGCUGGCGAAAGAGCCAACAAAACGCUGGGUGCUGCCACCGUGACACCGACUUUAGGACCCCGGCCUCGGAUGGAGAAAGGAGGGUACGGAGCCACCACAUAACUUCCUAAUGUCUUCAAAUAGCGAAAGUGCUAGCCGGAAACUGCCGGCUGGGUUUACCUAUUGGUGCUCGUGUGGGACUAGCAGAUUCGAGAAACCAGCGGGACUGGAACCUAGUACACUUCGGCAGUUGAGAAAUGACUUACCAGGACAAAUACUGCUUCUGGCUCGAUGGUGCUGCCCAUGAACAUCCGCCGGCUCUGAGAAACGAGCUGCACUGUCAGUGAGAAACCGUGGGCACUGAGAAACGAGCGGACUGCAACUGAUAACUGCCCACCCAGUGCCACUACGACAAAGUGCUGCUGGCACUACUCCCACCCUCCGUCCUCAAAUCAGUCCCCUCCCGCCUAAGAAGACCUUUAUUUUUCCUAGCGAAGUCAUACUGAGGGCCCCAUCAACCGAUCCCUUGCGAUGCGCAUGGGAAAAGGAGGCAGUAUAGGGACCGAGAAUCGGGCGGAUUGGGCUGGCCCUGGUAACAAAAGCCAUCCGGGUCGCCAACCGUCUUCCACUGCAAGAAACAAACCUUCCAGUGGCUGGGCUCCGCCCUUCUCCUUGGUCAGAGCCCUCCAGGCUCCUAAGGGCGAAGCCGACACCUCAUCCCUUUGGAACUUGAAGUUCUCAGUCCAAGACCUCCGUGGAGAGUGAAAGACUCAAUGCCUCCUGACCGAGGCUUCAGGCCUGCCCCGGCAGCUAGGAAACCUGAAACUGCCAUUGAGCAGAAGGAAAACAUCCCUUUCCAGAACCUUUCUCGUUUUUCUAAAAAUCUGCACUUUUGGAAGUGAUCCCCCAAAGAGACCUCCAGACUCUACCAUGAGUGUCUCCAGCUGAACUCAUCGUGUCUAAUCCUCACCCUAGCUUAUCCUGUUCAAAUCAUUUCCAUCUUUUUCUGGAUGAACCUGGGCGGAUGUCAGACCAGAGAAGAGCACAGAAUGUACCAGAGAGCAGCUAAUCAAGCGCUGGCCUCAAGAUAAUCACUAUUAAAACCAUUACAGUUCAUCCAUCGCCAGACAGUGACUAACUGAGGCCCUUGUUCCACAAGCUAUAAAUGCAGCUUUGAUUGGACAAGAGACUGAUUUCAGUAACUUUCUCCUAAUAAGAAGACCACCAGCAUGCACUGUUCACAGAGGCUGUGCACUUGAGUGCCUUCGUGUCCCUGUUUCACCUUUUGACAUAUAUGGCCUAACUGUAAUACAUUUGAAUGUUGUCUCCACCCCAGAAUGAAUAUGGGCUGUAUGUAACAGGCAUAUUUAUUCAGUACACAUGCAUUAGGAACACAUUCAUGAAUAUUUAUAUGCCUCCUGUAACCUGUUGAAUACGUAUACUUGGUCAACCCAUUCAAC
Molecule: long non-coding RNA, 2192 nt
Filed under: Homo sapiens (human)
Lineage: Eukaryota; Metazoa; Chordata; Mammalia; Primates; Hominidae
Description: non-protein coding lnc-ZNF131-2:9
Source: RNAcentral